GGCGGACGGGUGAGUAACGCGUGGGUAACCUGCCCUGUACAGGGGGAGUAACAGUCAGAAAUGACUGCUAAUACCGCAUAAGACCACAGCACCGCAUGGUGCAGGGGUAAAAACUCCGGUGGUACAGGAUGGACCCGCGUCUGAUUAGCUGGUUGGUGAGGUAACGGCUCACCAAGGCGACGAUCAGUAGCCGGCUUGAGAGAGUGAACGGCCACAUUGGGACUGAGACACGGCCCAAACUCCUACGGGAGGCAGCAUG
RNAcentral lists this ribosomal RNA (259 nucleotides) under uncultured bacterium. Its description in RNAcentral is "partial 16S ribosomal RNA". It matches the Rfam family "Bacterial small subunit ribosomal RNA", at positions 97 to 353 of the family's 1533-position model. The record is from RNAcentral.